This 348-nucleotide long non-coding RNA is filed under the name Brassica rapa (field mustard). RNAcentral describes it as "long non-coding RNA (BRAP_LNC007839)". Lineage: Eukaryota; Viridiplantae; Streptophyta; Magnoliopsida; Brassicales; Brassicaceae. The record is from RNAcentral.
AAAAAUCGAUUGGUUAAACAAAUGUUUCAAAAUUUGUUGUAGUAUUGUUUUGUCUAUAAAUUAUAAAAUUUAUUGAAUUAAUAUAUUUAAUUAUUGCAUCCUUAAAUAAUAUUUUAUUUUUUUUUUUUUUUUUUGUCAUCAAUUUUACAGACUCAUAUUGACUCUGUGAACCAAACUGGGAGAUCUUGAUCCAUGUGAACUACAAAAGACGUUUCCUUCCUAGCACUGCGGGCUAAGCUAUCCGCCUUCUUGUUCUGCGUUCUUGGUACAUAGAUAAUCUCUACUCGGAAAAAACUCUCUUUCAGGCUGUUUAUAUCUUCCAAAUAACUUGCAAAUGCUGGCCAUUCU